AGCGAACGCUGGCGGCAGGCCUAACACAUGCAAGUCGAGCGGCCGUAGCAAUACGGCAGCGGCAGACGGGAGAGUAACACGUGGGAACGUGCCCUUCGGUUCGGAAUAACUCGGGGAAACCCGUGCUAAUACCGAAUACGCCCUUACGGGGAAAGAUUUAUCGCCGAUGGAGCGGCCCGCGUCUGAUUAGCUAGUUGGUGAGGUAAUGGCUCACCAAGGCGACGAUCAGUAGCUGGUCUGAGAGGAUGAUCAGCCUCACUGGGACUGAGACACGGCCCAGACUCCUACGGGAGGCAGCAGUGGGGAAUAUUGGACAAUGGGCGCAAGCCUGAUCCAGCCAUGCCGCGUGGAUGAUGAAGGCCUUAGGGUUGUAAAGCUCUUUUGCCGGGGAAGAUAAUGACGGUACCCGAAGAAAAAGCCCCGGCUAACUUCGUGCCAGCCGC
RNAcentral lists this ribosomal RNA (443 nucleotides) under uncultured bacterium. RNAcentral describes it as "bacterial SSU rRNA". It matches the Rfam family "Bacterial small subunit ribosomal RNA", at positions 29 to 515 of the family's 1533-position model. The record is from RNAcentral.